RNAcentral lists this ribosomal RNA (397 nucleotides) under uncultured bacterium. RNAcentral describes it as "bacterial SSU rRNA". It matches the Rfam family "Bacterial small subunit ribosomal RNA", at positions 28 to 424 of the family's 1533-position model. The record is from RNAcentral.
AUUGAACGCUGGCGGCAUGCUUUACACAUGCAAGUCGAGCGGCAGCGCGGGGGGCAACCCUGGCGGCGAGCGGCGAACGGGUGAGUAAUGCAUCGGAACGUACCCUGGAGUGGGGGAUAACGCCGCGAAAGCGGCGCUAAUACCGCAUAUGCUCUGAGGAGGAAAGUGGGGGACCUGCAAGGGCCUCACGCUCUGGGAGCGGCCGAUGUCCGAUUAGCUAGUUGGUGGGGUAAAGGCUUACCAAGGCGACGAUCGGUAGCUGGUCUGAGAGGAUGAUCAGCCACACUGGGACUGAGACACGGCCCAGACUCCUACGGGAGGCAGCAGUGGGGAAUUUUGGACAAUGGGGGCAACCCUGAUCCAGCCAUGCCGCGUGAGUGAAGAAGGCCUUCGGGUU